RNAcentral lists this ribosomal RNA (554 nucleotides) under uncultured archaeon. Its description in RNAcentral is "bacterial SSU rRNA". It matches the Rfam family "Archaeal small subunit ribosomal RNA", at positions 325 to 879 of the family's 1478-position model. The record is from RNAcentral.
ACGGGGUGCAGCAGGCGCGAAAACUUCACACUGGGGGGAACCCCGAUGAGGGAAAUCCUAGUGCUUAGGACAUUUGUUCUAGCUUUUCUCAAGCGUAGAUAACUUGAGGAAUAAGGGCUGGGUAAGACGGGUGCCAGCCGCCGCGGUAAUACCUGCAGCCCAAGUGGUGGUCGAUUUUAUUGAGUCUAAAACGUUCGUAGCCGGUUUGGUAAAUCUUUGGGUAAAUCGGGAGGCUCAACUUUCCGACUGCCGAAGAGACUGCCAAACUUGGGACCGGGAGAGGCUAGAGGUACUUCUGGGGUAGGGGUAAAAUCCUGUAAUCCUAGAAGGACCACCGGUGGCGAAGGCGUCUAGCUAGAACGGAUCCGACGGUGAGGGACGAAGCCCUGGGUCGCAAACGGGAUUAGAUACCCCGGUAGUCCAGGGUGUAAACGCUGCAGACUUGGUGUUGGAGGCCCUUCGGGGGCAUUCAGUGCCGGAGAGAAGUUGUUAAGUCGGCUACUUGGGGAGUACGUCCGCAAGGAUGAAACUUAAAGGAAUUGGCGGGGGAGCAC